RNAcentral lists this non-coding RNA (29 nucleotides) under Mus musculus (house mouse). The record is from RNAcentral. Lineage: Eukaryota; Metazoa; Chordata; Mammalia; Rodentia; Muridae.
UCCCAGGAAAGAGUUUCCUAUAGUUGGUA